Molecule: ribosomal RNA, 542 nt
Filed under: uncultured bacterium
Lineage: Bacteria
Description: bacterial SSU rRNA
Rfam family: Bacterial small subunit ribosomal RNA
Source: RNAcentral
UAAUAGACGUACCCGGGUAGUCCAUGCCGUAAACGAUGAGUGACUAAGUGUUAGGGGGGUUUCCGGCCCCCUUAGUGCUGCAGCUAACGCAUUAAGCACUCCGCCUGGGGGAGUACGACCGCAAGGUUGAAACUCAAAGGAAUUGACGGGGGGCCCGCACAAGCGGUGGAGCAUGUGGUUUAAUUCGAAGCAACGCGAAGAACCUUACCAGGUCUUGACAUCCCAGUGACCACUCUAGAGAUAGAGUUUUCCCCUCGGGGGACAUUGGUGACAGGUGGUGCAUGGUUGUCGUCAGCUCGUGUCGUGAGAUGUUGGGUUAAGUCCCGCAACGAGCGCAACCCUUAAUCUUAGUUGCCAUCAUUUAGUUGGGCACUCUAAGGUGACUGCCGGUGACAAACCGGAGGAAGGUGGGGAUGACGUCAAAUCAUCAUGCCCCUUAUGACCUGGGCUACACACGUGCUACAAUGGACGAUACAAACGGUUGCCAACUCGCGAGAGGGGANCUAAUCCGAUAGGUCGUUCUCAGUUCGGAUUGUAGCUGC